GACGGAGGGGGCUAGCGUUGUUCGGAUUUACUGGGCGUAAAGGGCACGUAGGUGAACUAUUAAGUUAAAAGUGAAAUCUCAAAGCUUAACUUUGAUACUGCUUUUAAAACUAAUAGUUUUGAGUGUAAUAGAGGAUAAUGGAAUUCCUAGUGUAGAGGUGAAAUUCUUAGAUAUUAGGAGGAACACCGGAGGCGAAAGCG
RNAcentral lists this ribosomal RNA (200 nucleotides) under uncultured bacterium. RNAcentral's name for it is "partial 16S ribosomal RNA". It matches the Rfam family "Bacterial small subunit ribosomal RNA", at positions 524 to 723 of the family's 1533-position model. The record is from RNAcentral.